RNAcentral lists this ribosomal RNA (429 nucleotides) under uncultured archaeon. RNAcentral describes it as "bacterial SSU rRNA". It matches the Rfam family "Archaeal small subunit ribosomal RNA", at positions 474 to 903 of the family's 1478-position model. The record is from RNAcentral.
CACCAGCCCCUCGAGUGGUGGGGAUGAUUAUUUGGCCUAAAGCGUCCGAAGCCGGCCGGGUAAGUUUCCCGUUAAAUCCAGCGUCUCAAGCGUUGGACUGCGGGAAAUACUGCCUGGCUAGAGAGUGGGAGAGGUCAGCGGUAUUCUGGGGGUAGGGGCGAAAUCCUUUGAUCCCCGGAGGACCACCAGUGGCGAAGGCUGCUGGCUAGAACACGUCUGACGGUCAGGGACGAAAGCUGGGGUAGCGAACCGGAUUAGAUACCCGGGUAGUCCCAGCCGUAAACGAUGCAUGCUAGGUGUUGGGUUGGCCACGAGCCACCCCAGUGCCGCAGGGAAGCCGUUAAGCAUGCCGCCUGGGAAGUACGAUCGCAAGAUUGAAACUUAAAGGAAUUGGCGGGGGAGCACCACCAGGCGUGAAGCCUGCGGUUU